AACAGGAUUAGAUACCCUGGUAGUCCACGCCGUAAACGAUGGGUGCUAGGUGUCACGGGUAUUGACCCCUGUGGUGCCGCAGCUAACGCAUUAAGCACCCCGCCUGGGAAGUACGGCCGCAAGGCUAAAACUCAAAGGAAUUGACGGGGGCCCGCACAAGCGGUGGAGCAUGUGGUUUAAUUCGAUGCAACGCGAAGAACCUUACCAAGGCUUGACAUGCAGGGAAAUCCGGCAGAGACGUCGGGUCCGCAAGGGUCCUGCACAGGUGGUGCAUGGUUGUCGUCAGCUCGUGUCGUGAGAUGUUGGGUUAAGUCCCGCAACGAGCGCAACCCUCGUUCUAUGUUGCCAGCGCGUAAUGGCGGGGACUCAUAGGAGACUGCCGGGGUCAACUCGGAGGAAGGUGGGGACGAGGUCAAAUCAUCAUGCCCCUUAUGUCUUGGGCUGCACACAUGCUACAAUGGCCGGUACAAAGGGCUGCGAAACCGCAAGGUGGAGCGAAUCCCAAAAAGCCGGUCUCAGUUCGGAUUGGGGUCUGCAACUCGACCCCAUGAAGUCGGAGUCGCUAGUAAUCGCAGAUCAGCAACGCUGCGGUGAAUACGUUCCCGGGCCUUGUACACACCGCCCGUCACGUCACGAAAGUCGGUAACACCCGAAGCCGGUCGCCUAACCCACUUGUGGGAGGGGGCCGUCGAAGGUGGGAUCGGCGAUUGGGACGAAGUCGUAACAAGGUAACC
This 734-nucleotide ribosomal RNA is filed under the name uncultured bacterium. Its description in RNAcentral is "bacterial SSU rRNA". It matches the Rfam family "Bacterial small subunit ribosomal RNA", at positions 771 to 1501 of the family's 1533-position model. The record is from RNAcentral.